This 829-nucleotide ribosomal RNA is filed under the name uncultured bacterium. Its description in RNAcentral is "bacterial SSU rRNA". It matches the Rfam family "Bacterial small subunit ribosomal RNA", at positions 99 to 925 of the family's 1533-position model. The record is from RNAcentral.
CGAACGGGUGAGUAAUACAUAAGCAACCUACCCAUAUGACUGGGAUAACAGUUGGAAACGACUGCUAAUACCGGAUAGGUGUUCGGGGGACAUCCCCUGGAUAUUAAAGCUGGAAUACAGCACAAAUGGAUGGGCUUAUGGCGCAUUAGCUAGUUGGCGGGGUAACGGCCCACCAAGGCGAUGAUGCGUAGCCGACCUGAGAGGGUGACCGGCCACACUGGGACUGAGACACGGCCCAGACUCCUACGGGAGGCAGCAGUAGGGAAUUUUCGGCAAUGGGCGCAAGCCUGACCGAGCAACGCCGCGUGAGUGAAGAAGGCCUUCGGGUUGUAAAGCUCUGUUGUAAGGGAAGAAUGACCAAGAUAGGGAAUGAUCUUGGAGUGACGGUACCUUACCAGAAAGCCACGGCUAACUACGUGCCAGCAGCCGCGGUAAUACGUAGGUGGCAAGCGUUAUCCGGAAUUAUUGGGCGUAAAGGGUGCGUAGGCGGUUUGAUAAGUCUGAGGUGAAAGUUCGGGGCUCAACUCCGAAUUGCCUUAGAAACUGUCAGACUUGAGUGUAGGAGAGGGCAAUGGAAUUCCAUGUGUAGCGGUAAAAUGCGUAGAUAUAUGGAGGAACACCAGUGGCGAAGGCGGUUGCCUGGCCUAUAACUGACGCUGAGGCACGAAAGCGUGGGGAGCAAAUAGGAUUAGAUACCCCAGUAGUCCACGCUGUAAACGAUGAUUACUAAGUGUUGGAGCAAUUCAGUGCUGCAGUUAACGCAAUAAGUAAUCCGCCUGGGGAGUAUGCACGNCAGUGUGAAACUCAAAGGAAUUGACGGGGGCCCGCA